GGGUUGUGAGGUUAAGCGACUAAGCGUACACGGUGGAUGCCCUGGCAGUCAGAGGCGAUGAAGGACGUGCUAAUCUGCGAAAAGCGUCGGUAAGGUGAUAUGAACCGUUAUAGCCGGCGAUGUCCGAAUGGGGAAACCCAGUGCAAUUCGUUGCACUAUCGUUUGAUGAAUACAUAGUCAAACGAGGCGAACCGGGGGAACUGAAACAUCUAAGUACCCCGAGGAAAAGAAAUCAACCGAGAUUCCCCCAGUAGCGGCGAGCGAACGGGGAGCAGCCCGGAGUCUGAAUCAGCUUGUGUGUUAGUGGAAGCGUCUGGAAAGUCGCAGGGUACAGGGUGAUACUCCCGUACACUAAAACACACAGGCUGUGAACUCGAAGAGUAGGGCGGGACACGUGGUAUCCUGUCUGAAUAUGGGGGGACCAUCCUCCAAGGCUAAAUACUCCUGACUGACCGAUAGUGAACCAGUACCGUGAGGGAAAGGCGAAAAGAACCCCGGCGAGGGGAGUGAAAAAGAACCUGAAACCGUGUACGUACAAGCAGUAGGAGCCUCUUUAUGGGGUGACUGCGUACCUUUUGUAUAAUGGGUCAGCGACUUAUAUUCUGUAGCAAGGUUAACCGUAUAGGGGAGCCGCAGGGAAACCGAGUCUUAACUGGGCGUUAAGUUGCAGGGUAUAGACCCGAAACCCGGUGAUCUAGCCAUGGGCAGGUUGAAGGUUGGGUAACACUAACUGGAGGACCGAACCGACUAAUGUUGAAAAAUUAGCGGAUGACUUGUGGCUGGGGGUGAAAGGCCAAUCAAACCGGGAGAUAGCUGGUUCUCCCCGAAAGCUAUUUAGGUAGCGCCUCGUGAACUCAUCUUCGGGGGUAGAGCACUGUUUCGGCUAGGGGGUCAUCCCGACUUACCAACCCGAUGCAAACUACGAAUACCGAAGAAUGUUAUCACGGGAGACACACGGCGGGUGCUAACGUCCGUCGUGAAGAGGGAAACAACCCAGACCGCCAGCUAAGGUCCCAAAGUCAUGGUUAAGUGGGAAACGAUGUGGGAAGGCCCAGACAGCCAGGAUGUUGGCUUAGAAGCAGCCAUCAUUUAAAGAAAGCGUAAUAGCUCACUGGUCGAGUCGGCCUGCGCGGAAGAUGUAACGGGGCUAAACCAUGCACCGAAGCUGCGGCAGCGACACUAUGUGUUGUUGGGUAGGGGAGCGUUCUGUAAGCCGUUGAAGGUGGCCUGUGAGGGUUGCUGGAGGUAUCAGAAGUGCGAAUGCUGACAUAAGUAACGAUAAUGCGGGUGAAAAACCCGCACGCCGGAAGACCAAGGGUUCCUGUCCAACGUUAAUCGGGGCAGGGUGAGUCGACCCCUAAGGCGAGGCCGAAAGGCGUAGUCGAUGGGAAACAGGUUAAUAUUCCUGUACUCGGUGUUACUGCGAAGGGGGGACGGAGAAGGCUAUGUUGGCCGGGCGACGGUUGUCCCGGUUUAAGCAUGUAGGCGGAUGUUCCAGGUAAAUCCGGAACGUUAUCAACGCUGAGGUGUGAUGACGAGGCACUACGGUGCUGAAGUGACAAAUGCCCUGCUUCCAGGAAAAGCCUCUAAGCAUCAGGUAACAUCAAAUCGUACCCCAAACCGACACAGGUGGUCAGGUAGAGAAUACCAAGGCGCUUGAGAGAACUCGGGUGAAGGAACUAGGCAAAAUGGUGCCGUAACUUCGGGAGAAGGCACGCUGAUGGUAAGUGAAGUGACUUGCUCAUGGAGCUGAAAUCAGUCGAAGAUACCAGCUGGCUGCAACUGUUUAUUAAAAACACAGCACUGUGCAAACACGAAAGUGGACGUAUACGGUGUGACGCCUGCCCGGUGCCGGAAGGUUAAUUGAUGGGGUUAUCCGUAAGGAGAAGCUCUUGAUCGAAGCCCCGGUAAACGGCGGCCGUAACUAUAACGGUCCUAAGGUAGCGAAAUUCCUUGUCGGGUAAGUUCCGACCUGCACGAAUGGCGUAAUGAUGGCCAGGCUGUCUCCACCCGAGACUCAGUGAAAUUGAACUCGCUGUGAAGAUGCAGUGUACCCGCGGCAAGACGGAAAGACCCCGUGAACCUUUACUAUAGCUUGACACUGAACACUGGUCCUUGAUGUGUAGGAUAGGUGGGAGGCUUUGAAGUGUGGACGCCAGUCUGCAUGGAGCCAUCCUUGAAAUACCACCCUUUAAUGGCUGGUGUUCUAACGUGGGCCCGUUAUCCGGGUUGCGGACAGUGUCUGGUGGGUAGUUUGACUGGGGCGGUCUCCUCCUAAAGAGUAACGGAGGAGCACGAAGGUCAGCUAAUCCUGGUCGGACAUCAGGAGGUUAGUGCAAUGGCAUAAGCUGGCUUGACUGCGAGCGUGACGGCGCGAGCAGGUGCGAAAGCAGGUCAUAGUGAUCCGGUGGUUCUGAAUGGAAGGGCCAUCGCUCAACGGAUAAAAGGUACUCCGGGGAUAACAGGCUGAUACCGCCCAAGAGUUCAUAUCGACGGCGGUGUUUGGCACCUCGAUGUCGGCUCAUCACAUCCUGGGGCUGAAGUAGGUCCCAAGGGUAUGGCUGUUCGCCAUUUAAAGUGGUACGCGAGCUGGGUUUAGAACGUCGUGAGACAGUUCGGUCCCUAUCUGCCGUGGGCGCUGGAGAAUUGAGGGGGGCUGCUCCUAGUACGAGAGGACCGGAGUGGACGCAUCACUGGUGUUCGGGUUGUCAUGCCAAUGGCAUUGCCCGGUAGCUAAAUGCGGAAGAGAUAAGUGCUGAAAGCAUCUAAGCACGAAACUUGCCCCGAGAUGAGUUCUCCCUGACCCUUUAAGGGUCCUGAAGGAACGUUGAAGACGACGACGUUGAUAGGCCGGGUGUGUAAGCGCAGCGAUGCGUUGAGCUAACCGGUACUAAUGAACCGUGAGGCUUAACCUUACAACGCCGAAG
Molecule: ribosomal RNA, 2927 nt
Filed under: Klebsiella sp. M5al
Lineage: Bacteria; Pseudomonadati; Pseudomonadota; Gammaproteobacteria; Enterobacterales; Enterobacteriaceae
Description: bacterial LSU rRNA
Rfam family: Bacterial large subunit ribosomal RNA
Source: RNAcentral